UUUACUGGGCCUCUCCGCUCCCUCUGCUCUUGGAGGUGCCAUGAGGUCAGUUAGCUACGUGCAGCGCGUGGCGCUGGAGUUCAGCGGGAGCCUCUUCCCGCACGCAAUCUGCCUCGGAGACGUUGAUAACGAUACGUUAAAUGAACUGGUGGUGGGAGACACCAGCGGGAAGGUGUCUGUGUAUAAAAAUGAUGACAGUCGGCCAUGGCUCACCUGUUCCUGCCAGGGAAUGCUGACUUGCGUUGGGGUUGGAGACGUGUGUAAUAAAGGAAAGAACCUGUUGGUGGCAGUGAGUGCUGAAGGCUGGUUUCAUUUGUUUGACCUGACACCUGCCAAGGUGUUGGAUGCUUCUGGGCACCACGAGACACUAAUUGGAGAGGAGCAGCGUCCAGUCUUCAAGCAGCACAUCCCCGCCAACACCAAGGUCAUGCUGAUCAGCGACAUCGAUGGAGAUGGGUGUCGUGAGCUGGUGGUGGGCUACACAGACCGUGUGGUGCGAGCUUUCCGCUGGGAGGAGCUAGGUGAGGGUCCUGAACAUCUGACAGGGCAGCUGGUGUCCCUCAAGAAAUGGAUGCUGGAGGGUCAGGUGGACAGCCUCUCAGUGACUCUGGGGCCACUGGGUCUUCCUGAACUGAUGGUGUCUCAGCCAGGCUGUGCUUAUGCAAUUCUACUGUGUACCUGGAAAAAGGACACUGGGUCCCCUCCUGCCUCUGAAGGGCCCAUGGAUGGCAGUAGGGAGACCCCAGCUGCCCGAGACGUGGUGCUGCACCAGACAUCUGGCCGUAUCCACAACAAGAAUGUCUCCACUCACCUAAUUGGCAACAUCAAACAAGGUGAAAGUGUGGCCACGGCACUGAGAGUAGUGGCUCUGGCCUCUUUGCCCUGUGCACCCUGGAUGCCUGCCUCUCCCCCGGCAGGGACACUGAAGCUCAUGGAAGAAAUGGAAGAAGCAGACAAGCUGCUGUGGUCAGUGCAGGUGGAUCACCAGCUUUUUGCCCUGGAGAAAUUGGAUGUCACCGGCAACGGGCAUGAGGAGGUAGUUGCAUGCGCCUGGGAUGGACAGACAUAUAUCAUUGAUCACAACCGCACCGUCGUCCGCUUCCAAGUGGAUGAAAAUAUCCGUGCCUUCUGUGCAGGCCUGUACGCCUGCAAAGAGGGCCGCAACAGCCCCUGCCUCGUAUAUGUCACUUUCAACCAGAAGAUCUAUGUGUACUGGGAGGUGCAGCUGGAGCGGAUGGAGUCUACCAAUCUGGUGAAACUGCUGGAGACCAAGCCAGAGUACCACAGCCUGCUGCAGGAGCUGGGCGUGGAUCCUGACGACCUCCCUGUGACUCGUGCCCUGCUUCACCAAACGCUCUACCAUCCAGACCAGCCACCACAGUGUGCUCCCUCAAGCCUCCAGGAUCCCACCUAGCUGUACUUGCCUCAUAGCUGGUGAAGGAUUCUUCUGAACCCCCACCCUACCCCCUAAAGGCAGGGAGGAAGACCAGAGAAGAACAUCGACAUAGAGAAACAAGAGUUUAUUCCAAUGGAGAAGCAGCUGAGCCGAGGGCUUGCCAUUGGGCCUGGGGUCUGCAGUUACAGAAGCAGCAGGAGGCAGACAAGGAAAGGCACAGCACAAGACCCAGGAAAGCGGACCUUGUGGAGCAAGGCAGUGAAGGUGAGGAAAGCUUUUAGGAUUUUGAGACCAGGUGCUAUGGCACACGUGAUAAGUGAGCCCUCUCCUUUCCUUCUGAGGGCAGGGGAGGCAGCUGAGAAAGGGCAGGCCAAGUGUCACAGGCAGCUCCUUGCAUCCCGGUUCUUCUCUAACCCAGUCAACCCCAGGCUCAAGACUGUUUCAGCCCAACGGUCCCAGUUCCCUUGUUCAGGUUAGCUGUACCACUGUCUUUCUCUGCUCCUUUUUUGUUUGUUUUUGGAGACAGGGUCUCACUCCUUCACCCAGGCUGGAGUCCAAUGGCACGAACUUGGCUCACUACAACCCCCAUCUCCCAGGUUCAAGCAACUCUUGUGCCUCAGCCUUCCAAGUAGCUGGGAUUACAGGUAUUCACCACCAUACCUGGCUAAUUUUUGUAUUUUUUAGUAGAGAUGGGGUUUUGCCAUAUUACCCAGGCUGAUCUCAAACUCCUGACCUCAAGUGAUCCGCCCACCUCAGCCUCCCAAAGUGCUGGGAUUACAGGCAUGAGUCAUUGCGCCCGGCCUCUUUCUUUACUCCUAAUCCGUGAUUUGAGAGACUCAAACCAGCCAGAAAGACUCUCAGGGGUCUGGCGUCUUAAGGUUCGGGUUCUUCUCUUCACAGUGAAUUCAAAAAAGCCUCUGUCUCCUGACAGACCCCAAACUUUAAAAAAAAAAAAAAAGCCUCUGUCUUUUUGCUUUGGCAAAGGCUGGCAGGGGGUUAGAAAGCCACUGAUUCCAGGACAACGCAAGCUUAAGCUCAAGAGACCAGAGAUGGGGAUAGGAAGAAGGCCUAAUGAGGUGGAUAGUUCUAGAAAUCAGAAAGAAUGCUGAGUAGGUGAAGUCUGAGUGGUGACAACUUCACUGUCCUGUCUGCCUCACAGGAGCAGUUCUCUACAAGGCUCUUCCACACACACACACACAAGGCUCAGGGGCUCGGUGGGUACAAAAAGCCAGUGGAAACGGAUAAAUACCUAUAGCAUUAAUAGCAGAAGUAUGUCCAAGGUUUUGCACAGGGUAAUCACACAAUAACUGGCUUCAGACGUUUGCAGCCACAGGAAAAAACAGCUCUCAGCCUUAUGAGAUGGACAUUCCUAUACUAACUCCCGCUCUUUGUUGUAUUGAAUUUUGGCUGUUUCUUUCCCCACUCAACUGUGAGCAGAUGUGCACAGACUCCGAGAGGCAGACACCAGGAGGUCCAGGGACAUAGGUUGGUGAGGCAUGGCGGUCUAGUUGUGGGAGACAAUGAGCCCCAGAAGGUGUGGUGAGAGACAUGGUGGUAUGGGAAGUUGAGUUGUGUUUGGGGUGGUAUUGGGUGAUGGACAAGGACAGCAGUCAGCAGAGCCUUCGACCCAGCCCAAGCAGGCACCCCAUUGUGCUUAGGUUCCUGUCUGUGGUCCUGAUUUGGCUUUGCUUUUCUUGGGAGGAAGACGAAUCAGAAUCCUGGCAUCGUGGGCCCUCUAGUGAAAACUCGUCCUGGGGAGUAGGACAGCUGCUGAGAAGCAGAGAGGAAUGCGGCCAGCUGGGGAAAAUGGGACAGCAGGGGUCGGGGAGGUGAUUGGAAGGGCAGACACCGUAGUCCCCAGCUACCUGGCUUCAAGAGCCCCCGUUCCCCACACGCCUCUUCUUCUAAGGCAAGGUCUUUCCCUCUGGGGACUGACUGAGACAGCAGUCACUGGCCAGGCUCUUGGUACAAAGGCAGGAAGGGUAACUCUGAGAACGGGGCUUUCAGCCGCAGCACUCCGUGCUCCAGGUCGAUGCAGCACUGUGGGGUGUAGAGCAGUCAUGCCAGGUCACCUCAGCCCGCCACCUGCCUCCCGGCCGCUCCUUUAUUUCCCCCUCCCACUUCCCACAGCUUCCACCUGCCUUUUGCUCUUCCCCCAUCCCCAUUUCCCUAGACUCCUGUUGAAGGGGGUGACCCAGUUCUCUUGAUUUUUCACUUGGUGGUAAGUAAGGAACCUCUAAGGAAGCAAAGGGACAGUUGCCCAUCUCUAAGUCACUCUCAUCAGAACCUGGUCCAGGUUCCACACCUGUGCCUUCUACUACUUUUUCCCAGUGCUUUGGAUCAGGCCCUGAGUGGGUGCCUUACCUUGAGAGAAAGCAGAGUCUGCAGGCCCAGGCAGAAUUCAGGACUCUCAGCAUCUAUAGGAACAAUUUGAAAACAGAAGAGGCUAAGGGUUCCCAGUGGCCACUGCUGCCCUCCUCUUAGCCGUUGCUCCUUCUCUGCCCACCCCAUCCCCAGAUCCGAGGACACUGGCACAGAGAUGGGGGAUAGUCAGAACAUCUCUGGGAACUCCUCGUGCUGCAGGGACUGAAAGUCUUGGCCUUUGCCCCACCCCGAAGAGAAAGGUGAGGUGAGCACCAGGGCUGUUGCAGAAGGGGGGACUUACCCACCACCUGUGCCGAGCACACCACAGUCUCCUGCCCCAGCUGUAGCUCCAACUGCUCCACCUGGGUUGGGGGCCCAGGGGCCAGGUCCCCAGCUGAGGCUUUUAGGACCCUUUUCUCUAACCUGUGGUUGGGAAGCAAGGGUUAUGGCUACCACAGACCCUAGAGGGUUCCACCCCAUUAAUCAGCAGGUGUCCCUCUCUACUAUGGGUUCACCUCCAACCCCUGACCUCACGUGGGGUCUAAAUCCUUGCCUUCUCUGCCAGAGUCUUCUAGCCACUCUUUUGUUAAAUAACAGCUUUAUUGAGAUAAAAUAUGCAACUGUCGUCACUAUCUAAUUUGAGAAUAUUUUCAUCACCCCAAAAAGAAACCCUGUCCCCCACUUGCUUGUUUGGGCCACAUUCUUACCCCAGGCGGCUGAGACAUCCAGCAGAGAUCCGAUUGUAUUGGGUGCCUGUGUCAACGGCCACUCUAAGCAGCUGGUCCUGGCACUAAGAAAGAGGAAUCGUGGUGAAUCAGUGAGUCCCUAGGAGAAUGGGUUGGAAUUGGAUCCUUCAGUUUCCCAGCCCAUUGAUGAUUCCCUCCUAGAAAUGAGUGGAGAAAAUGAACUGUCUUUAAAACUGGCUUUUAUCGGGGCCAGGCGCGGUGGCUCACGCCUGUAAUCCCAGCACUUUGGAAGGCCGAGGCGGGUGGAUCACCUGAGGUCGGGAGUUCAAGACCAGCCUGACCAGGGUUUAGUAGAAACCCUGUCUCUACUAAAAAUACAAAAUUAGCUGGGUGUGGUGGCGCAUGCCUGUAAUCCCAGCUGCUCGGGAGGCUGAGGCAGGAGAAUCGCUUGAACCCGGGAGGCGGAGGUUGUGGUGAGCCAAGAUCGUGCCAUUACACUCCAGCCUGGGCAACAAGAGCAAAACUCUGUCUCAAAACAAACAAAAAAACUGGUUUUUAUGAGACUCAUACAGUAGGGGCAGAACUCCCAGAUAAAUAAGUCAAAAAAAGGAAGUGGACCAGGUGCGGUGGCUCAUGCUUGUAGUUCUAGCACUUUGGAGGCAAGAGGAUCACUUGAAGCCAGGAGUUCAAGACCAGCCUAGGCAACAUAGCAAGACUCUGUCUCUACAAAAAAUAAAAUGGAAAAAAAAAAAAAAAGUGGUUAUAUGUGAUGGGUUCAUAAGUUUGGGGAAGAUCUGCCAGAAAUGGAGAAACGGUGAUCUGUUUGUUUAGAGGAAUCCUUGGGAGUUUGAUGCCCUCCUGGUUCGAAAACUCCAGGUUAGGAAUAGAGGAAGGAUGAGAAGACUGGAAUCCCUGUUAGGAAACUCAUAUAUGGGUAACCAAGAAGUUCGCUAUUGGAAACAAAGGAAGACAACUUCACCUACUUUGGGACAUAGACAGACAUUUUGAUAUACACUUGGAUAUACACACACGUCGUUUUCUCAUUCCAAACAUUCAUUGAGUAUCUACUAUAAGAUAUGUUACCGGAAGGUACAUCAAUGAAUGCUAUUCUUUAGGAGUCUAAAGGAAGUAUAAUAUAACUCUACUAUAUGGCAGAAAGUUUUAUGGUCUAUAAAAGGAUGUGAAUGCCCUGGCCCUGUGGCUCACACCUAUCUAUAAUCCAAGCACUUUGGGAGGCCAAGGUGGAAGGAUCGCUUGAGGCCAGGAGUUCAGGACCAGCCUGACCAACGUGGUAGUAUAAAAAUACAAAAAAAGAAUUAGCCAGCUGUGGUGGCGCACACUUGUAAUUUUAGCUACUCAGAAGACUGAGGUGGGAGGAUUGCUUGAGUCCAGGAGGUUGAGGCUGCAGUGAGCUCUGAUCGUGCCACUACACUCCAGCCUGGGUGACAGAGUAAGAAUCUGUCUCUAAAAAAUAAACAAAAGGACCGGAAAAGUCGAGGGGUGCGGUGGCUCACGCCUGUAAUCCCAGCACUUUGGAGGCCGAGGUGGAUGGAUCACCUGAGGUCAGGAGUUUGAGACCAGCCUGACCAACCUGGAGAAACCCCAUCUCUACUGAAAAUACAAAAUUAGCCAGGCGUGGUGGCAUUUGCCUGUAAUCCCAGCUACUCGGGAGGCUGAGGCAGAAGAAUUGCUUGAAUCUAGGAGGCAGAGGUUGCGGUGAGCCAAGAUCACACCAUUGCACUCCAGCCUGGGCAACAAGAGCGAAACUCCGUCUCAAAAAAAAAAAAAAGUGCUCGGCGCAGUGGCUCACGCCUGUAAUCCCAGCACCAGGAAUUUGAGACCAGCCUGGCCAACCUGGUGAAACCCUGUCUCUACUAAAAAUACAAAAUUAGCCAAGUGUGGUAGUGUGGGCCUAUAGUCCCAGCUACUUAGGAGGCUGAGGCAGGAGAAUCGCUUGAACCCAGGAGGCAGAGGCUGCAGUGACGACACCAGAUCAUGCCACUGCACUCCAGCCUGGGUGACAGAGCGAGACUCUGUCUCAAAAAAAGAAAUUUUUUUUAAAAAAAGGACGUGAGUAACCUGCCUUAGAGGUUGGGAGGGAGGAAAGGCUGUUUCCUACUGGGGAAAUCAGAAAAGGUUUCAAGGAGGAGGUAACAUCUGAGCUGGGCUUUUGCUUGCAGAAUGCGGACCCAGAAUGAUUGGAGAGCAAGAAGAGCAAUCCACAUAGAAGAAGCACAGAGCAAAGACAGUGGCCGAGGACCAGUGGGAAUUUAUUGCGAACGUUCAAUAGUGACUGAGUGGUUAAGUGGUUCCAGAGAUUACAGGGCCAAUGCCUUAGAACACAUGAGUUUUUUCCAGAAUUACGUUAUCCAUGCACACACACCAUUUGUCUGUGUAGAGCACACUGAGGAGUACUUACUUAAUUUAAGUAUUGUAUUUUGACCAAGGAAUUGGGGCAGAGUAAUGGUGGUGACAGAUGGAGUUGCACCGAGGAGACAUGGGUUGGGGCAGGGAGGAAGGAGGUAGAGGAUCCUGGUUAGGUCCAGGCUAGGGAGAGAGGUGCCCUUUCUCCCUCCCUCCCUCUCCCAUCAGGGCAGAGCAGAAAGGAGAGCAGGUGAAGUGAGUGCAGGCAGGGUUGUUAAUGAAAGUGUGUCCCUGGGAGGCCUCUCACCUUGCAGUUGACCAGAAGAGCUGGAAUCUCUGUCUUGCUGGUCUUCCUCCUGCUCUCCUGGCCAUGAAUCAGGGCCUGCAUCCGGGGAGGCUCCCCCUGAAGCCAGUUCGGGUUUCCCUCCACGAGGCGUCUUUGGAUCACACUGCGCGGCUGCUGGCUCCAUCACAAAACAAUGAAGGAGGAAGUGGGACGCAGAGAGAAACGCACAUGGGGAGAACGCCACAUGAAGGCUGAGGUCGGGACAAUGCAUCUGCAAGCCAAGGAACACCUAAGAGGACCACCAGAAGCCAGGGGAGAGGCGUGGAACAGACCCUGCCUUACAGCUCUCAGAAGGAACCAACCCUGCCGACACCUUCCUGUUGUACUUUCAGCUUCCAGAACU
This is an RNA transcript of Gorilla gorilla gorilla (western lowland gorilla), 7499 nucleotides long. It is a transcript of the gene named integrin alpha FG-GAP repeat containing 2, with no coding region annotated. Lineage: Eukaryota; Metazoa; Chordata; Mammalia; Primates; Hominidae. The record is from RefSeq and is a predicted model, not a curated record. The transcript is spliced from 14 exons.